RNAcentral lists this ribosomal RNA (414 nucleotides) under uncultured microorganism. RNAcentral's name for it is "bacterial SSU rRNA". It matches the Rfam family "Archaeal small subunit ribosomal RNA", at positions 459 to 872 of the family's 1478-position model. The record is from RNAcentral.
CAGCAGCCGCGGUAAUACCGGCGGCCCGAGUGGCGGUCACUCUUAUUGGGCUUAAAGCGUCCGUAGCCGGGUUGGGAAGUCCUCCGGGAAAUCUGGCCGCUUAACGGUCAGAAUGCCGGAGGAUACUCCCAGCCUAGGGAGCGGGAGAGGCCGAGGGUAUUCCCGGAGUAGGGGGGAAAUCCUAUAAUCCCGGGAGGACCACCUGUAGCGAAGGCGCUCGGCUGGAACGCGUCCGACGGUGAGGGACGAAGGCCAGGGGAGCAAACCGGAUUAGAUACCCGGGUAGUCCUGGCUGUAAACGAUGCGGACUUUGUGUCGGACAAGCUAUGAGCUUGUCCGGUGCCGGAGGGAAACCGUUAAGUCCGCCGCCUGGGGAGUACGGCCGCAAGGCUGAAACUUAAAGGAAUUGGCGGG